Molecule: ribosomal RNA, 301 nt
Filed under: uncultured bacterium
Lineage: Bacteria
Description: partial 16S ribosomal RNA
Rfam family: Bacterial small subunit ribosomal RNA
Source: RNAcentral
CAGUCGCCGCGGGAAUACGAAGGGGGCUAGCGUUGCUCGGAAUCACUGGGCGUAAAGGGUGCGUAGGCGGGUCUUUAAGUCAGGGGUGAAAUCCUGGAGCUCAACUCCAGAACUGCCUUUGAUACUGAAGAUCUUGAGUUCGGGAGAGGUGAGUGGAACUGCGAGUGUAGAGGUGAAAUUCGUAGAUAUUCGCAAGAACACCAGUGGCGAAGGCGGCUCACUGGCCCGAUACUGACGCUGAGGCACGAAAGCGUGGGGAGCAAACAGGAUUAGAUACCCGUGUAGUCCCUGUCUCUUAUAC